This 5646-nucleotide long non-coding RNA is filed under the name Citrus maxima (pomelo). RNAcentral's name for it is "long non-coding RNA (CMAX_LNC001130)". Lineage: Eukaryota; Viridiplantae; Streptophyta; Magnoliopsida; Sapindales; Rutaceae. The record is from RNAcentral.
GCGAAAACUUGGAUGCCAGUGUUGCCAAGAGAGACGGCAGCGAGCUCAAGAUUGCCAAGAUGGCCGCAAAAGAUCUGAGUGGACAUGGCGACAAGGUUAUUGAGCAUGUAAACCAAGAUUGCUGGGGCUGCUAGGCGGAAGAGGUUUUUGAGUUCGAUCCAUGUUGCUUUCUUGAUUCUCUGAAAGAAUGACAAGCUGUCGUCCGACAGAGCUUCUUCAAGCUCAGAACUCACUGGCUCGACCUCCGACCCGUUGCUUUGCAACAUGGGUUCAUGGACAUUAUUAUUAUUAUCAGUGUUGGAGGAAUCCAUGUAAGUUCCUUCGCUCUUGUGAGUCUUGUCUCUCAACUCUCAACACACACGCAGCUACCUCCCCGUUAAUUAUUUAUAUAUAUGUAGGCGAUAUAAUAUGGCAUCUGCCACUUAACUUUCAAAGACAUACAUAGAAAGUUAGGUUAACACAAUAUGAAUAUAUGGCAAACGGGGAAAACUUCAUUUCAUUACAUACUGAUCGAUACAAGUGGAAAAAUCAUAUGAUUAUUUGAUAAGACAUAAAAUAUUAGGGAUUCAGAUGUAAUUAGCGUUAGUCUUACGUAAGAGAUUAUGUUUUUGAAUUUUGAGUUGUCAAUUAACAAAUAAACAAAAAAGGUGUUCAAUUUGUUGUCACCUCAAAGUUCCCAAUCAAUAUUCAUAUAUUGUUAGGUAGGUUACGUGUCAAAAUAUAUACUUUGCUGAACGAGAUUUUAUUUUUAUUUUUAAAAGAAAACGUGAAAUUUUUUUUUUUGGUCUUCUUCUAAUGCAAUUUCACAAAAAAUUUUUAAAUCUAGUUGCUUAAUUGUUUUUAUGUUCAUAUAUAUUUUUAUCAAUUGCACACAGAUCUUCAAAAACUUGGUCUUCAAUUAUGUAAUAGUUGUAAAAGUAAUUAAUCUCUUAUCAUACGUAUGUGAUUAGUCUGAAAAUUGAUCUCAUCUUGGCCCAAAAAAAAAAAAAUUAGAACAAAAAAGAAACAAGAAGGGAAAUUCUUUCGACUAAUUAUUUGCAACGAUUUCUCUACCUUUCUUUUUUUUUUUUUUUUUUUUUGGGUGCCAAUAUUCACAAAAUGUUAAGAAAAUGAAGCAUUUCCGAGAAAGCAGAUGAAUUUGGAAGGAAAGCAAGAAGCCAUUAUUAAUGCUCAAAAUGGUGAACAUCAAUAGAAUUGAUUGGAAAAUGUUGUCAAAAAUGGGAUACCAAUCAGGUAGUAACAUCCCAAGUUAACAUAAGCAAUAAAAGCUUGCCAUCCGAACCCAACAGCUACUCCUGGUGUCGUUUAAUAUAGGGAAAAUAUCCACCGUCCACCUGAUUUUGUCCAUUUUUUUAAAAAUACACAAAUCUUAAUUUUUUUAGCUGCGCUCCACCUGAACUUAUAAUUUUUUUCACAUUUCCACCUCCGUUUGCAAACCGUCAAGACGUUGCUGACGUCAUAAGGCUAAAAUGAUAAUUUCACUUGGGCUUAAAAAACGACGUCGUUUAAGAUCUGUAAUAAGCAAAAAAAAAAAUUAUUUCAGUUUCAAGAACCCAAACAAAAGCUUUGAUAAACUCGAAGCUCAAAGCUUAAUUAUUCUCUGGUCUCUACUCACCACAUUCGCAUUCAUGGCUGCACAAGACACACAAAUUGAGAGCGAAAAUAAAGACUCAAAAGAACCCAAAAACCUGUUCGCACACUUUACAAACUUAUUAUUUUCUGCUCCAAUAUUUAAUAAUAAGCAAGAGAGAAAUAAAAGUGAAGGUGAAGAAAGAGAAGCUGCAGAAGCAAGCAAGAAACGAGAGGUGGUGAAAUUUCCGCUUUUAAAAAAAUAAACAAAGAAAGAAAGAAAAAGCAAAGGCAAAGCCAAAAUCUUCUACUCUGAAAGUCAUCGACCGUAGUCAUGGCGGAAAACACAGAAAUCGCUUCCAGUCCCAGAAAACAAGAAAACAAAAGCAUACUCUCGCGGUUGCCGAAAUUCCAACUCAAUCUCCCUUUCUUCUUUAAUCAACAACCUAAGAAAGCAGAAGAAACUGUUGUUUCUAAAGGGACUGCCAAAACGUCAACGGUUAGUGAAGCCGAUGAAGGUAUGCUAGUAGUGUGAAGCCGAGCUUGGCUAGGUUUCCGGACGCCACGCGUCCGAUUCUUUCGCCGCAGAUUGAGCUCGAGGCCGAAGAGCCCGCCAGGCGGACUUCCAAUCCUGUCCUUCUCUGGCAGGUUCGCUUUCUUCCGUCUGUUCCUGUUUGGCUCCCGAGAAAAUGUGGGGUCCUUUUGUGUUGCGAGAUUGCGAGAUUGCGAGAUUGCGAGAUUGCGAGAUUUUAUAAUAUUUGUUUAAAAAAUAAAAUUUUUGAAAGGAUUUAAAGAUUUUCAGUUUUUAUUUAGGGCUACAAUACUCACAAAGCUAAUAUUUUGACGUUUAUUUAGGGUAAAUAUGUAAUUUUUUAUUUUUGGGAUUAAAAAGUAAUUUGGACAAAAUUCCGUUAGUUUUAUUGACGGUUUGCAGACGGAGGUGGAAAUGUGAAAAAAAUUAUAAGUUCAGGUGGAGCGCAGCUAAAAAAAUUAUGAUUUGUGUAUUUUUAAAAAAGUGGACAAAAUCAAGUAGACGGUAGAUAUUUUCCCUUUAAUAUAUCACAUCAAUUGCAGUAGCGUUAAUUAUUAAUGAUUUGAAUUUUGAAGCCACAACAAAUUAAUUAUGGGGAAAUGGAGAGGAAGAGCUGGAGCUAUGUAAUAAAUAUAAUAUGGCAACAGCUAGCAAUAAAAACGACGUUUAUCGUCUAAUUAUUUAGUACUUCUCAAUUAUUGAUUGACAUUAUAAUCAAAGGCCGACUGUUAUUAAAUUUUUUCACUAAAGUAAUUAAGGUAGCUCAUAUUUUUCAAUUAAUUAAAAGCAAUUAUAUUCCUAACGUAAAAUAAUCAUCGAGAGCAAAUAAUCAGUAGAAAAAUUAACGCUUGAAAGAGUUUGAUGCUUUUUAAAAUAUCAAUGGAGUUUGUAUUUAUUUAAUCAAAGAACAGGAACGUGGGUCUUUUUCCCCCACUAAUAACUGUAGAAAAGCAACAUUUAUUAAAGCUUGAGUUGACGUACAUACACUAAUGAACUCAUUUGCCUGUUUGUUGUGUUGUGUGGCGGUGUAUGCGAGCACGUGUUGUGAAAAUUUUAAUAUAUUUGUAAGUGUAUGAAUUUAGAGAUAAAAUAGUGAUAACGAGGUCGAUCCUACAAGGAUUAUUAUAAAUUAAAAAAUUUAAUUUAAAUUUAAAAUUAAUAUUAAUUCUAACCUAGUUGACCAAAUUAAGUUUCUAAGAAAAUUAAACCAAUUAAACUAAGGAAGCAAUUAAAAUAAAGGAGAAUUCAAUCAAAUAAAAAUUACUAAAGUUUUAAAAUCCACCACUAUUCAACUAGUAAUUACUGUAGAUUUUCUUCUUUGUCUCGGGUUUUCCUCCUCUGGCGGCUCCUCUCUCCAAAAGCCAAAACUCCCUUUUAAUAAUCUUUAAAAUGAGCCCCACCUCUUAAAUGCUAAAGCCAAAAGGCUUGGCCUUUUACUUGAUUUGCUCUCACACACGUCCUGGCCACUUAUAAUUGCUAAAGGACUCAUUUUUCCAAUUAUAAAAGUCAAGUGUGUGUCCCUUCUUAAAGCUAAAUCAAUUUCUCUCCUUUGUCCGCAUGUACAUGAUGAAUUAACUUGUUGAAUUCAGUUCCUUGGCUUGAUUUCCGCAUGCAUGUAUGUCUAAUUGCUUCCAAAAAUCAAUUAAUCUUUAAUGCUUACAAAUUAAAUUCCUUUAUGCUCUUUUUAUCCAUAAUCUCCAAUUAAUUUCCUAUUCAAUAAAAUAAUUUAAUUAAUUAAAAAUAAAAAUAACUAACAAUUAAAUAAUUAAAGAUAAAAUAUGUAUAUAAAUUAUGCUCAUCAGCACGUCGCCGUCUUGUGCAAAGCUAAAUAUCAACAACGUAAAUACUACCUUAUACAGCAAUGCGCGCGCUUUAAAUAAUUGACUAUUACAUAGUAAAUAGUAAAUAAACAUAUAAUUGGUUCCUGCAUCUUCAAUUCUGUGUCUUAUUAUUGACGUUAUUUGAUAAAAUGCAAUGCUGUGAAUAUUUACCUGUAUUACUAUCAUGGUUGGUUAAAAAAAAAAAAGGGUUAGGUGAGCGAGAAAGGAGAUGAUAAGCUAGGAGAAUAAGAAUUACCUGACAGAACAGGCUGGACGCCGUUGAGAAUUACGGAGAAAGCGAGAAAAGGGCUGAGUUCAGCAACGGAGUCGGCGACGGUGGAGCCGCCAGUGAAGGCAUAGCUCAAGACAUUGCGCAGUAUGAGGACAAGAAUGGCCAGAAUCACAGAGAGUGCGAGUGAAAUUGAAGUUACCACGAUCACUGAGAACUUACACGAUUUUGGAUGUGCUGCACCCAACUCAAUGCCCACCCUAACACUGUACGUACGUGUGUAUUUCACCAAUUCAGCGCAAAUAAUUGUAACUAAUUAGAGGAAAACACUAAUAAAUUACGUACCUUGCUGCCGCAUUGAAACCCACAGCAAUCAUGAACACCCAUCCAGCAAUCGUCAUGCUGCAUUAGUGGACACAUGUAAUAGCAUGCGGUUGCAUUGAAUUACUUUGGCAACAUGAUGCCGAUGAGCAUAUUAAAGAGAUUAAACAGACAAAUAAUUCGUAUCUUACCAGAUGGAGAGAGAGUCGAGCACAAUUUCAGCAUUAUCGAGCAACCCAGCAAUCAAAACAAUGAUCUGAUAGUACCAAAUCUCGAGGCACAACAUUACAGCCGAUGCUGUUGACAAUUUCAGUAAGUCCCACAGCCCAGAAAACGCCUGUAAGCUAAACCCAGUCCAUGUCUUUUUGCACCUUUCACUCAACAAAAUGUACACGAAUUGUGCCGCCACUAUAAUCCACCACGACAAACUUAACACCAACGAUGCCCCUAGAAGUCCCCAGCCUAGCUUGAAAAUCGCAACCCAACUUAAGAGCACAUGCACCACAAGUGUUGCCGCUGAGAUGUAUGCACUUGGCGAGAUUAUGCUUUGUGCUUGUGGGAGCUUUUGUAUGGGGAAAUUGACGGCGUAGGCAAAUAUCUGUGGGAUUAGACCGAAAACGAAGAUUGCUGCUGCUGAUGCAAUGGCACUUGAUUCCCCUAGCAGGAGCAAGAUUUGUUUUGAGAAUAUGUAGAUGACCAUGAGUGGUAUCCCAGUUGCCGUGAGUAUGACUGCCGAUCUUUGAAGAUAAACGCCUAGCAUGUCGUACUUCUGUGCCCCGUAAGCUUGGCCACAUAAAGUUUCAGUAGCGCUUCCCAUUCCCAACUGUGUAAAAAUAAUAUUUUAAUUGUAAUCGGACAGUAAUUAUAUAUACACACACACAUAUAUAUACUAUUACGUACCAUAAGGCCAUAGGCGAAAACUUGGAUGCCAGUGUUGCCAAGAGAGACGGCAGCGAGCUCAAGAUUGCCAAGAUGGCCGCAAAAGAUCUGAGUGGACAUGGCGACAAGGUUAUUGAGCAUGUAAACCAAGAUUGCUGGGGCUGCUAGGCGGAAGAGGCUCUUGAGUUCGAUCCAUGUUGCUUUCUUGAUUCUCUGAAAGAAUGACAAGCUGGUAAGUUCCUUCACUCUUGUGAGUCUUGUCUCUCAACUCUCAACACACACGCAGCUACCUCCCC